AAGAACGAACAAGAAAGAGAGGCGAGCAAUCUAAAUAUCACUCGAAGGUGGAGUUCUGAAUCACACAAGGACAGCGCGUAUUUGCGCGUGUUCGAGAGUAGCUAAAGCUAGAUGUAAAACAAAACUCAAGUCGUAAACAAAAGGGACUCCGACAAAAUAAAGGGGGCGCAGCCCCUGGAGUCCGGAGGAGGCGCCACGGCAGGAGGGAGGCGCGCGCGACCAGGCGGAGGGCCGCGGCUCCCAACCCUAGGCGCCCCACCUGGGCUGCCCUGUUGGGCCAUCUUCUUAUUCCGCUGGGCCUUCGUUCCUUAAUAGCAUGAUGAAGUUUAAUUCUCUCGCACGGGCCCGAGUGAUUGGCCCAACUGGAUGAUCAACUGUAGGCGCCGGAGGUGGAGGAGCAACUGGAGGCGCCUGAGGUGCUGCUGGUGUAGAUGUACUCGUGGUGUCCUCAUCAUCCUCCCCUUCUUGAACUGAAGUCAUCCUCGACGGCAACUCCUCAUCUUCGCCCACAUACAGUUUCAAAUCUGCAACAUUAAAACUCGUGGAAACACCAAACUCCGCAGGCAGGUCAAGGAUAUAAGCAUUAUCAUUAAUCUUGGUUAGCACUUUAAAAGGACCAGCAGCGCGUGGCAUCAAUUUAGAACGACGUAAAGUAGGAAAACGAUCCUUUCUCAAAUGCAACCAAACCAAAUCACCCGGUGCAAAAGUAACAUGUUUUCUUCCUUUACUACCCGCAACCUGAUAUUUAGCAUUAGUAGCAGCAAUGUUUUGUUGAGUUUGCUCAUGCAAGCUAAUCAUUUGAUCAACAUAUGCAGCGGCAUCUAUGUGUGGGGCAUCCUCGGCAUCAAGUGCAAACAAAUCAAUAGGCGCCCGAGGAAUAUAACCAUAAACAACCUGAAAGGGACACAUCUUGGUAGAAGAAUGUGUUGCAUGAUUAUAAGCAAACUCAACAUGAGGCAAGCAAUCUUCCCAAUGUUUCAAGUGUUUAUCUAAAACAGCCCUAAGCAUGGUGGACAAGGUUCGAUUAACCACCUCAGUUUGUCCAUCAGUCUGAGGGUGACAAGUGGUGCUAAAUAGCAAUUUAGUUUCCAUUUUAUUCCACAGUGAUCUCCAAAAAUGACUGAGAAACUUAGCAUCACGAUCAGAGACUAUUGUAUUUGGAAUACCAUGCAAACGAAUAAUCUCGCCUCGCGAAAGAACAAUGCAGCAACAUUGCUAGCAUCAUCAGUCUUAUGACAAGGUAUAAAAUGAGCCAUUUUGGAGAAACGAUCAAAAACCACAAAAAUACUGUCCCUCCCCUUCUUAGUUCUAGGCAAUCCCAAAACAAAGUCCAUAGAAAUAUCAAGCCAAGGGGAAGUAGGAACAGGCAAAGGCAUGUACAAACCAUAGUUGUUCAAUCGUGACUUAGCUUUCUGGCAAGUAGUGCAGCGUGCAACAAGGCGCUCAACAUCAACGCGCAUCCGGGGCCAAAAGAAGUGGGCAGCCAGCACUUCAUGCGUCUUGUAGAUGCCAAAGUGCCCCCAUGAGACCGCCUCCAUGCGCUUCCUGUAACAACAAACGACGAACCGAGCUAGCUGGAACACACAGCUUGUUAGCGCGAAAUAGAAACCCGUCCUGUAUGUGAAAUUUGCCCCAUGGUUUGCCAUGAAUACAAUGGGCGAAAGCAUCUUUAAAAUUAGCAUCAUCCACAUAUUGAUCCUUCACAGUUUGCAAGCCAAAGAUUUUAAAAUCUAACUGUGACAGCAUGGUAUAGCGACGAGACAAAGCAUCAGCAAUGACAUUUUCCUUCCCGCUCUUGUGAUUAAUAAUGUAAGGGAAAGACUCAAUGAAUUCUACCCAUUUAGCAUGACGACGGUUCAGGUUUGUUUGGGUGCGAAUAUGUUUUAAAGCCUCAUGAUCAGAAUGAAUUAUAAACUCGCGAUGCCAAAGGUAGUGCUACCAAGUAUGCAAAGUGUGCACUAAAGCAUAAAGCUCCUUAUCAUAAGUAGAAUAAUUCAAGCUAGCACCACUUAAUUUCUCGCUAAAGUAAGCAACCGGUUUUCCUUCUUGUAACAAAACAGCACCUAGCCCAAUACCACUAGCAUCGCAUUCAAGCUCAAACACUUUAGUAAAAUCAGGCAACUGCAAGAGAGGAGCAUUGGUUAACUUAUCUUUCAAGGUGCUGAACGCAACCUCUUGCGAAGUACUCCAAGCAAAGGGAACAUCCUUCUUUGUAAGCUCAUGUAGAGGCGCUGCAAUGGAGCUAAAAUCACGAACAAACCGGCGGGAGAAACCUGCAAGGCCAAGAAAGCUUCGAAUUUGUGUGACCGUCGUCGGUGUAGGCCACGCCCAAAUGGCAUCGAUCUUGCUACUAUCCACCUCAAUGCCCUGUGGAGUAACAACAUAGCCAAGAAACGAGACACGUUGUGUGCAAAACAUACAUUUUUCCAGGUUAGCAAAUAAAUGGGCCGCACGCAACGCAUCAAAAACAGCACGCAAAUGAUCUAAAUGCUCUUCCAUAGACUUGCUGUAAAUGAGGAUAUCAUCAAAAUAGACAACUACAAAUAAUCCUAUGAAGGGCCUUAGAACUUCAUUCAUCAAACGCAUAAAUGUGCUGGGAGCAUUUGUCAAACCAAACGGCAUAACCAACCAUUCAUAUAACUCAAAUUUCGUUUUAAAAGCCGUUUUCCAUUCAUCACCUAAUUUCAUGCAAAUCUGAUGGUAGCCACUACGCAAAUCAAUCUUAGUGAAAAUAAUGGCACCACUAAGCUCAUCUAGCAUAUCAUCAAGGCAUGGUAUAGGGUAUCGGUAGCGAAUGGUAAUGUUAUUAAUAGCACGACAGUCUACACACAUACGCCAUGAGCCAUCUUUCUUUGGAACAAGUAACACGGGAACGGAGCAAGGGCUAAAAGACUCAUGAAUAUAACCCUUGUCAAGCAACGCCUGUACCUGGCGCUGGAUUUCCUUCAUCUCAUCCGGAUUUGUACGGUACAGUGCGCGGUUCGGAAGCUGUGCGCCGGGAAUGAGGUCGAUCUAGUUCUCAAUGCCACGAAGUGGUGGGAGUCCCGGUGGAAAAUCUUUUGGAAAGACAUCAGCGUACUCCUGCAAAAUGUUAGCAACCGCAGGGGGAAUAUCCAAAGAUGGUGCAUCAUCAAGUGAAACGAGCACACUAGAGCAUAUAAGGGCAUAGCAUGGCAAAGGAGCAUCGCCUAACUCAUCAAAAUCAGCACGCGUAGCAAGCAAAACAGGAGCAUUCAACUUGAUUUCAGAAUUAACAGAUGUCGAUGCGUCAAGUUUUUUAGCAGUUUUAGCAGCUCUAACAAGAUCAUUUUUAAGAAUUUGUUCAGGUGUCAUUGGAUGUAUAAUUAUUUUCUAACCCUUAAACAUGAAAGAAUAGUGAUUUGAACGACCAUGAUGCAAGCUAUCAAUAUCAUAUUGCCAAGGUCGCCCAAGUAACAAAGAGCAUGCUUCCAUGGGAAUAACAUCACAAUCGACAAAAUCAGAAUAAGCACCCAUGGAGAAAGGAACACGGACUGAUCGAGUAAUUCUAAUUUUCCCACCAUCAUUAAGCCAUUGAAUGUGAUAUGGAUUUGGAUGCUUACGAGUGGGUAAAGACAACUUUUCAACCAGCGUGGUACUCGCCAAAUUGUUGCAGCUGCCGCUGUCGAUGAUGAUGCGAAUCGACCGCUCCUGCACAACACCCUUGGUAUGGAAAAGAGUGUGUCGCUGAUUCUUCUCGGACGGGGCGACCUGUGUACUAAGAACACGCUGCACAACAAGACUAUCAUACCUAUCGGCGUCGCCCGGGUUGACAUGUACCUCCAUAGCUGCAUGGUCAGUGGCAAGCAUCGCAUGUCGAGUAUCUUUAGAAUCACUAGCGGAAGAGUACUCACCAUCGUCGCGAAGAAGCAAAGUGCGCUUGUUCGGACAGUCCCGAAACACGUGGCCAAAUCCUUUGCAACGAUGACACUGAAUAUCCCGUGUAUGGCCUGUGGGAGGGACGGCGCCUAUGGAAGGGGCAGCGCUUGCAGGUUUGGCCAUUCUCUCGCGCGGUGUAGUGGUGGCCGUGGGUGGCGCAGGGAGAGCGGGUGCGGAGUUGGAUGUCGAGCUUCUUCCUGCAAAAGAGUUAGAAUAUGUCUUCGAGCGGCGUCCCUGCACUUCACGUUCAGCUUUGCAAGCAUAUUCAAAUAAUGUUGUCAUAUCUGUGUAGUCCUUAUAAUCAAGUAUAUCCUGAAUUUCGCGGUUCAAACCACCACGAAAACGUGCCAUAGCAGCGUCGUUUUCGUCCAAUAACCCACAACGAAUCAUGCCUAUUUGUAAUUCCUAGAAAUAUUCCUCAACAGAUUUGGAACCUUGCUGAAAACGUUGCAUUUUAUUAAGCAAAUCUCGGGCAUAAUAAGAAGGCACAAAUCUAUGGCGCAUAGCAGCUUUUAAUUGAUCCCAAGUGGUUGGAAUGGUAUUGGGAUGUUUGUGUUUAUAUUCACGCCACCAAAUUAAAGCAAAAUCAGUAAAUUCACUAAUAGCAGCUUUAACUUGAGAAUUAGCAAGAAUAUCAUGGCAUGAAAAUUUCUGUUCAACUUCUAAUUCCCAAUCAAGAUAUGCAGCAGGAUCAUAUUUGCCAUUAAAAGGUGGAAUUUUAAAUUUAAUCUUGGAAAAGGAAUCAUUACCAGGACGGCGUGGCACGCGGCGGGCACGGCCUCGGCGGUCGCCAUCGUCCUGUUCCGAGUCACCACCAUAACCCUGCUGCAACUCUGUGACUGUGGUGUGCAAUGCAUCAAGGCGUGCCACAACUGUGUCGAGUGUGGCCUUAGCGGCCGUCUGUGCAAGGUCUAGCUGAUCGCACCGCUCGGUCGUCGAGGAGAUCGUCGAGUCCAGCCGUUCAUGAACCGUCUGAAUGUCCGUGAAAAGCCCUUCAACUUGUGCCCGUUAGCGCAAAGACAAGAACAAAACCGACGACAAAAUAGGGGUGCAACGGCUCACAAGGCGCUCACACUAGUGCUGUUAUCAAAUUCUUAUCCGUUCUUACCACGCACACAGGGGUGAACUGCAACCAACCGGUGGACCUCGUGAAAGAUUGGAGGAGCGAUUGCCUGGAGAAACAAAAUCUGCUCGUCGUAGAACUAUGUGGAGUUUUGGGAAGGCUGCACUCAAAUGAAGGAUUAGCACAAUCAAACAAUAAUGCAAAGUUGAAAUAUAGUGCCAAACACGUAACAAGAGUUGCUGGUAACAAGGGAAACCGAAAGAACAGAGGCAAAGAAACGGCCAAGGUGGAGAGGGCGCACCUCGUUUGUUUUUCUGUUUUUUUUGCAGGGUGCCCCAAAACUAAUAAUAUGAACACAGAGGAUCUCAAACAGCAAAUUGCGGCACACACUUUUUCCGAAAGUACAGGGGUAUUCCGGUAAAAAAAGAGAGAUACGGAUAUGAAAAGCUGGCACUUCCGUGGGGAAGGGCGCGGUAUGCGUGGGGGGGUGUGGAGUUGCCCCGGAGGGUCGUGACCCAAGGGGGUUCACGGCGCGCGCAAAGGAAGUUUCCACCGAAACAAAACCGGAUCACCUUCCUUCUCCCUGUUGGAUUUUUUUCCUUCUUUCCUUUUUUUUUUGCACUUUCCUUUUUUUUAUUGCUUUCUAUCUUUUUUUUGGACAGGGGAGGGGGCGAUCGGAGGGGUGGGAUGGCGCGGCGCGGUUGUCGCGAGGGGGGGCGGUGGGCGCGGUGUGGUAGGAUUGGCGAGCAGCGGAACGGCGGCGGCAAAAACUAGGGUUAGAAGAAAAACAAGAAACAAGAGAUUAAACACAAGUAACCAGCAACAAUUGAACGAGUAGGUACACAAAUUCAACAAAGACACUUAUUGAAAGAAUGUGCGAGGCUAAACGGUUGCUGGGACAAGGAUCUAACCUGAAAAAAAUUUGUUUUGGUUUUUGUGGACUGUAGGAAGGGAAAAACACUCGGUAAAACUCACCGAUCAACCUGGAAAGCUGAUACCACUUGAUAGAGUUGGAGUGCCCGAUCUUUCGGUGAGUGGAGAUAAAUUCAACUUGGUGGAAGUAGACCCUCACGAUCCGACUACGACGAGCGAACUCGAAGCGCCAAUGCAAUCGCUGAACCAACUUCCUGUGGUUACCAACCUUGCUAGCGCAAGAUCAGCCUGAUCACGAAGAUCGAUUCCUGUUCGCAAUCGAAGAACGAACAAGAAAGAGAGGCGAGCAAUCUAAAUAUCACUCGAAGGUGGAGUUCUGAAUCACACAAGGACAGCGCGUAUUUGCGUGUGUUCGAGAGUAGCUAAAGCUAGACGUAAAACAAAACUCAAGUCGUAAACAAAAGGGACUCCGACUAAAUAAAGGGGGCGCGCGCGACCAGGGGGAGGGCCGCGGCUCCCAACCCUAGGCGCCCCACCUGGGCUGCCCUGUUGGGCCAUCUUCUUAUUCCGCUGGGCCUUCGUUCCUUAACAGCAUGAUGAAGUUUAAUUCUCUCGCACGGGCCCGAGUGAUUGGCCCAACUGGAUGAUCAACUGUAGGCGCCGGAGGUGGAGGAGCAACUGGAGGCGCCUGAGGUGCUGCUGGUGUAGAUGUACUCGUGGUGUCCUCAUCAACAAGCGUCAUGGUUGUUGUUGAUCUUCUGACGGAGGUUGUGCACUGAGCGUUCAAGUUCU
RNAcentral lists this long non-coding RNA (6625 nucleotides) under Setaria viridis. RNAcentral describes it as "long non-coding RNA (SVIR_LNC005664)". Lineage: Eukaryota; Viridiplantae; Streptophyta; Magnoliopsida; Poales; Poaceae. The record is from RNAcentral.